RNAcentral lists this long non-coding RNA (429 nucleotides) under Rattus norvegicus (Norway rat). RNAcentral describes it as "long non-coding RNA NONRATT000516". The record is from RNAcentral. Lineage: Eukaryota; Metazoa; Chordata; Mammalia; Rodentia; Muridae.
CCCAGGACCUUUGCGCAUGCUGGGCCAGCACUCUCCCAAUGGAGCCCCUUUGCCCCAGUGGUGAGCUAUGAAGGUCCAUUGUAUGUCGGUGGGUGGGCGGACGGGUGGGCAGGGGCAGAAUGUGACUGGCACAGCAGAUGGGCUAUUGUGUGAGGGAAUGUGCCGCAUAUGCCUGACCUUUUCCUGUGUGGCAGGGGUUGGCGGGCUGGCAUGCCAGGUGGGGGCCAAGCUCAGAGAAAGUCUCCUCCUCCACGUCCCCCGGAGGGCCUGGCUGGAGGCUUCCUUCUCUGCGCCUUCUUCUUGGGUUGUGUGUACCACACAGGUACAGAUUUCCUUGGCCUCUCUGAGAGGGCUUAUUUUCAGAAGUAGGCUGUCGGGGUUGGGGAUUUAGCUCAGUGGUAGGGCCCUGGGUUCGGUCCCCAGCUCCGG